Non-coding RNA from Chlorocebus sabaeus (green monkey), 2591 nucleotides. The record is from RefSeq and is a predicted model, not a curated record. Lineage: Eukaryota; Metazoa; Chordata; Mammalia; Primates; Cercopithecidae.
UAUGGUCAAGAGGAAAACUCCUGAGGAGAUUCGCAAGACCUUCAAUAUCAAAAAUGACCUUACUGGGCCCGGUGCCGUGGCUCAAGCCUGUAAUCCCAGCACUUUGGGAGGCCAAGGCGGGUGGAUCACGAGGUCAAGAGAUCUAGACUAUCCUGGCUAACACGGUGAAACUCCGUCUCUACUAAAAAAAUACAAAAAAACUAGCCGGGCGAGGUGGCGGGCGCCUGUAGUCCCAGCUACUCCGGAGGCUGAGGCAGGAGAAUGGCGUGAACCCGGGAGGCGGAGCUUGCACUGAGCUGAGAUCCGGCCACUGCACUCCAGCCUGGGCGACAGAGCAAGACUCCGUCAAAAAAAAAAAAAAGAAAAAAAAAAGAAAAAUUACUUUACUGAAGAGGAGGGAGCCCAGGUACGCAAAGAGAACCAGCGAUGUGAAGAGAAGUGUAAUGUUAUGCCUGACUCUGUAUCACUGUAAGGAUUGUUCCAAAUACUAGUUGCCCUGCUCUGUUGAUAAUUAUUAAUAUUAGACAAACAGUAGACAAAUGCAGCCGCAAGUCAAUUGUAUUAGCAGAAUAUUGUCCUCAUUGCAUGUGUAGUUUGAGUACAGAUUCCAAACCUAUGGCUGAGUUUCUUCCAGUACGAUCAAAAGUUUCUUUUUCCUUGGCUCUGAAUAAAACUGAACCGUAGGUUCUCUAUAGGUGGAAUUUUGGCCUUUCCCUCUUUUUUUGUAAAGCAAUGUCUGCCUAGUUUAUUGUCCAGUUAGCUUAGUGACAUUUUAAAAGUUGGCACUAUAAAUAAAUCAACUUGCAAAAAAAAUUUCUGUACUAGAAUUAACAAAAUGUUAUCUUUAUUCGUGUAUUGAAAACUGGAAAAAGGCUUCUUGAAGUAAAUGUUCUGAGUGGAGUUACUAGAAUGUCUUCCAGCGUCCUGCAGGCAAGGAGUACCACUGUACUGAUUAACCUGUUUGUAGGAGGGCUCCCUUCAUUGCAUCUGAGGACUUAGUUUCUUUUUCUUUAAUUUUAUUUUGAAUCCUCUUAGCUUUCAAUAUAUUGCCUAGAGACUCAGUUACUACCCAGUUUACUGGUUUUUGGGAGAAAUGUAACUGGACAGUUUGUUAGCUUUUCAAUUAAAAAGACAGUUAACCCAUGGGAAAAAAAAAGAGAGAGAGAGGAGAGAAAACUACCUCUAAAAGCCAAAAUGGGAAAGGAAAAGACUAAUAUCAACGUUGUCAUAAUUGCACACUUAGGUUCAGGCAAGUCCACCACUUCUGGCCAUCUGAUCUACAAAUACAUUGGCGUCGACAAAAGAACCAUUCAAAAAUUUGAGAAGGAGGCUGCUGAGAUGGGAAAGUGCUCCUUCAAGUAGGCCUGGGUCUUAGAUAAACUGAAAGUGGAACGUGAACGUGGUAUCACCAUUGGUAUCUCCCUGUAGAAAUUUGAGACCAGUAAGUACUACACGAGUAUCACUGAUGGCCCAGAACACAGAGACGUCAUCAAAAACAUGAUUAUGGGGACAUCUCAGGCUGACUGUGCUGUCCUGAUUGUUGCUGCAGGUGUUGGUGAAUUUGAAGCCGGUAUCUCCAAGAAGGACAGACCGAGGAGCAUGCCCUUCUAGCUUACACACUGGGGGUGAAACAACUCAUUGUUAGUGUUAACAAAAUGGAUUCCACUGAGCCACCCUACAGCCAGAAGAGAUAUGAGGAAAUCGUUAAGGAAGUCAGCAUUUAAUGUUAUGAAAAUUGGCUGCAACCUUGACACAGUAGCAUUUGUGCCAAUUUCUGGCUGGAAUGGUAACAACAUGCUGGAGCCAAGUGCUAGCAUCCCUUGGUUCAGGGGAUGGAAAACCGCCCAUAAGGAUGGCAAUACCAGUGGAACCAUGCUGCUCGGUGCUCUGAACUGCAUCCUACCACCAACUCAUCGAACUACCAAGCCCCUUCGCCUGCCUGUCCAGGAUGUCUACAAAAAGUGGUGGUAUUGAUACUGUUUCUGUUGGCUGAGUGGAGACUGUGUUCUCAAACCCAGUAUGGUGCUCCAGUCAAUGUGACAACUGAAGUAGUCUGUUGAAAUACACCAUGAAGCUCUGAGUGAAGCUCUUCCUGGGGACAUUGUGAGCUUCAAUGUCAAGAAUGUGUCUGUCAAGAAUGUUCGUCAUGGCAACGAUGCUGGUGACAGCAAAAAUGACCCACCAAAGGAAGCAGCUGGCUUCGCUGCUCAGGUGAUUAUCCUGAACCAUCCAGGCCAAAUAAGUGCUGGCUAUGCCCCUGUAUUGGAUUGCCACACGGCUCACACUGCAUGCAAGUUUGCUGAGCUGAAGGAAAAGAUUGAUCGCCGUUCUGGUGAAAAGCUGGAAGAUGGCCCUAAAUUCUUGAAGUCUGGUGAUGCUGCCAUAGUUUAUAUGGUUCCUGGCAAGCCCACGUGUGUAGAGAGCUUCUCAGACUAUCCACCUCUGGGUCACUUUGCUGUUGGUCAUAUGAGACAGACAAUUGCCGUGGGUAUCAUGAAAGCAGUGGACAAGAAGGCUGCUGGAGCUGGCAAGGUCACCAAGUCUGCCCAGAAAGCUCAGAAGGCUAGUGAAUAUUAUCCCUAGUACCUGCC